UACAGAGGGUGCAAGCGUUGUUCGGAUUUAUUGGGCGUAAAGCGAGUGUAGGUGGUUUCGUAAGUCAGAUGUGAAAUCCCUCGGCUUAACCGAGGAAGUGCGUUUGAAACUGCGAGGCUAGAGUGCCGAAGAGGGUGGCGGAAUUCCCAGUGUAGAGGUGAAAUUCGUAGAUAUUGGGAGGAACACCAGAGGCGAAGGCGGCCACCUGGUCGGCUACUGACACUAAGACUCGAAAGCGUGGGUAGCAAACAGG
Molecule: ribosomal RNA, 253 nt
Filed under: uncultured bacterium
Lineage: Bacteria
Description: partial 16S ribosomal RNA
Rfam family: Bacterial small subunit ribosomal RNA
Source: RNAcentral